This 90-nucleotide microRNA precursor is filed under the name Camelus bactrianus (Bactrian camel). Its description in RNAcentral is "mir-1388 microRNA precursor family". It matches the Rfam family "mir-1388 microRNA precursor family". The record is from Rfam by way of RNAcentral. Lineage: Eukaryota; Metazoa; Chordata; Mammalia; Artiodactyla; Camelidae. RNAcentral also lists the same sequence under 1 other name.
CCCAGGGCAGUGCCUCCAGGACUGUCUGACCUGAGAAUGGUGUGUCGGGGUCAAUCUCAGGUUCGUCAGCCCACGAGGUGCUGCCCCUUU